AUGGGAAUCUGCCAGGGUCUGUGUUAUCUUCACAAUGAAAAAAAUAUUAUUCAUGUGGACCUUAAACCAGCAAACAUAUUACUAGGUGAUAAAAUGGUUCCAAAACUAACGGAUUUUGGUUUGUCAAGACCAAAUAAAAACUCACGUACUAUGGCACAACCUAUUGGAACACGAGGAUAUAUCGCUCCAGAAUACGAAAAAGAUGGAACAAUUUCCUUCAAGGCUGACAUAUAUAGUUUGGGUGCCAUAAUCAUAGAAUUGGUAAUGGGGUGUAAGGGCGUCCCUCACAAAAAUAAUGUACUUCGAAGAUGGAGACACAGGUGGAAUAAGCCACCAACAUCGGUACAAUACCAUCAAGUCACUAGAUGCAUUGACAUGGCAGUACAGUGCAGGCAGGAAAAACCAGGACAUAGACCUUCUAUAUCGGAAAUAAUCCACAUUUUGAGUGAACCUGGGAGGAUGAAUGGGAACCCUGACGAGGAAAGCACUUAUCUUGAAGAUGACAUGCUUGGUAUUGAGCCGCUCGAGCUUCCUUUUAGUUUUAAGAAUAACAAGGAGAUGUCAUGGUCGGUUAGGCUAACCAACAAGACAAAGGCUUUUUUUGCAUUCAACGUUGAAAAACAAAGCAAGCAUUACACCAUACAGCCAGACAAAGGCAUCGUGAAGCCAGGAUACAACGAUUGUCUUGUUAAAAUAACAUCGCAGCCACAGGAAUGUGCACCGCAAGUUAUAGAGAAUGCUGACAAGUUCAUCGUGCGGAGCACAAAAGUUACCGGGGAUCUUAGAGAUGAGGAUAUCACCCGAUAUAUAUUCCACGAAGAGGUUCCUGGUAAAGUGGUUGAUGAGGUAGAUAUCUUGGUUGUAUAUGAGAAGGGUAGUCGCAAGAGAGGGCAAGACCCCGAUAUGACCGUCGAGGCAGUCCCCCCCAAGCGCAAGUGCAAGGCCAUCAAAUCUAGCAUCUAUGAAGAUGGCACACGACGACAACUAGAUCGUUAUAAUUUCCAUCCACUAGAGAACUUUUCACACAGGCAACCUACGAACAAGACCUACCUACCGAGGGUCAGCGAUCGAGCCAUGGAUGUCACAAGAGGGGCCAUGGGCAGCCUGCUCCACAAGCUGGGCGAGCUCCUCAAGGAUGAGUUCAAUCUGGACACGAGCGUCAAGGAAGACAUCAAGUCUCUCGAGAGAGAGCUGAUGAAGAUGCAUGUAGUACUCCACAAGAUAUCAGCUGUGCAACAGGACAACCUCGAUGACAUGGUCAAGCGUUGGGCCGGUAAUGUCAGGGAGAUGUCAUAUAACCUAGAGGAUUUUGUUGACGGCUUCUUGGUCCACAGUGAACCUGACUCUAGCAGGAGUAGCUUUAAGGAGCUCACACACGAUUUGUGCCUACUCUUGGAGAAGGGCCAGAGUCACCACGAGAUUGGGAACUUGAUAAAACAACACAUGUGCAAACAAGUUCAGGAUAAGGAGAAAAAUCAUAAAGAAUGCAAUGUGGACAAUCUUGUCGCUAAUGCAGCAGCCACAGUUACCAAGAAUAUUGAUCCUCGCACGUUGGUCCAAUUCCAACGUUCAAAGCAGCUUGUGGGCAUCCAAGAGCCAAGGGAUGACCUAAUCAAGAAGCUCUCUCAAGUGUCAGAACAGGAGCUUAGAAUAUUCUCUAUCUACGGAGGUGGGGGAUUGGGCAAGACAACUCUGGCGAAGGCAGUGUAUGACAAGCUUGAAGGACAAUUCCAUCCCAUGGCUUUUGUUUCUGUGGGUCAGAAACCCAAUGAGAUGCAAGUUUUGCGAGAUAUUAUUUAUAAAUUUUCCAAAGAUUUGAAUACAGCAACCCUGAACAUAAAGCAGCUCGUCGAAGAACUUCACAGAUUACUAGAGAACAAGAGGUACUUCAUUGUAAUUGAUGAUAUUUGGGAGUCCUCGGCAUGGAGUAACAUUGAACUAGCUUUCCCAGAAAGCAAUCUUGGUAUUAGAGUGGUGAUAACUACAAGGAUUCACUCUGUUGCUAAUGUUGCUUGCAGCAAUAGAAACCGUGUUGAGAUGAAAGCACUCAAUGACCAAGACUCAAGAAUACUAUUUCUUAGUAGAAUAUUUGGUAUGGAAGAUGCUUGCCUUGAUGUACCAGAAGACAUCUUGAGUGUUAUCCUUGAAAAAUGCCAUGGUUUGCCGCUUGCUAUUAUCAGCAUAGCAAGCCUUGUAGCUAAAGAUCCUAGUAGAAGGUCAACAUGGGAUUAUGUAAGGAAGUCUUUAACAGCCAUGUUUGAUGGGGACAAUUCUCCUCUCGCAGAUAUGGAGCAAAUAUUGGAUCUUAGCUACAGACAUCUUCCUGAUCAUCUCAAGACAUGUCUGCUUCAUGUUUGUAUGUACCCAGAGGAUGGCAAGAUAGACAAAUGA
RNAcentral lists this ribosomal RNA (2391 nucleotides) under Triticum aestivum (bread wheat). RNAcentral describes it as "partial small subunit ribosomal RNA". Lineage: Eukaryota; Viridiplantae; Streptophyta; Magnoliopsida; Poales; Poaceae. The record is from RNAcentral.